GACGAACGCUGGCGGCGUGCUUAACACAUGCAAGUCGAACGAUGAAGCCUCUUCGGGAGUGGAUUAGUGGCGAACGGGUGAGUAACACGUGAGUGACCUGCCCUUCACUUCGGGAUAACUUCGGGAAACUGGAGCUAAUACCGGAUAUUCACAUUUUCUCGCAUGGGGGUUUGUGGAAAGAUUUUUUGGUGGGGGAUGGGCUCGCGGCCUAUCAGCUUGUUGGUGGGGUGAUGGCCUACCAAGGCGGUGACGGGUAGCCGGCCUGAGAGGGCGACCGGCCACACUGGGACUGAGAUACGGCCCAGACUCCUACGGGAGGCAGCAGUGGGGAAUAUUGCACAAUGGGCGAAAGCCUGAUGCAGCAACGCCGCGUGCGGGAUGACGGCCUUCGGGUUGUAAACCGCUUUCACCGCCGACGAAGAUGACGGUAGGCGGAGAAGAAGCACCGGCUAACUACGUGC
RNAcentral lists this ribosomal RNA (461 nucleotides) under uncultured bacterium. RNAcentral's name for it is "bacterial SSU rRNA". It matches the Rfam family "Bacterial small subunit ribosomal RNA", at positions 28 to 508 of the family's 1533-position model. The record is from RNAcentral.